Molecule: ribosomal RNA, 439 nt
Filed under: uncultured bacterium
Lineage: Bacteria
Description: partial 16S ribosomal RNA
Rfam family: Bacterial small subunit ribosomal RNA
Source: RNAcentral
CUACGGGUCGCACCAGUGAGGAAUAUUGCACAAUGGGGGGAACCCUGAUGCAGCAACGCCGCGUGGAGGAUGACUCAUUUCUUUUUUUAAACUCCUUUUAUAUGUCAAGAAAAUGACGGUAGCAUAUGAAUAAGCACCGGCUAACUCCGUGCCAGCAGCCGCGGUAAUACGGAGGGUGCAAGCGUUACUCGGAAUCACUGGGCGUAAAGGACGCGUAGGCGGGUUGGAAAGUCAGGUGUGAAAUCCUACAGCUUAACUGUAGAACUGCACUUGAAACUUCUAAUCUAGAGUAUGGGAGGGGGAGAUGGAAUUAGUGGUGUAGGGGUAAAAUCCGUAGAUAUCACUAGGAAUACCUAAAGCGAAGGCGAUCUCCUGGAACAUUACUGACGCUAAGGCGUGAAAGCGUGGGGAGCAAACAGGGUUAGAUACCCCCGUAGUC